RNAcentral lists this ribosomal RNA (1703 nucleotides) under Menticirrhus littoralis (Gulf kingcroaker). Its description in RNAcentral is "16S ribosomal RNA". The stretch from base 98 to 1624 matches the Rfam family "Bacterial large subunit ribosomal RNA". Lineage: Eukaryota; Metazoa; Chordata; Actinopteri; Sciaenidae. The record is from RNAcentral.
CGCCCAUCAGCUAGCCGCCUCCCCUAAGAACAACAAACCCCCAUCAAUACCCCCUAAAACACUCAACAACACAUAAACAAACCAUUUUUCCUCCCAAGUACGGGCGACAGAAAAGGAACUGCCGCGCUAUAGAGAGAGUACCGCAAGGGAACGCUGAAAGAGAAAUGAAAUAACCCAGUAAAGCCUAAAAAAGCAGAGAUUUAACCUCGUACCUUUUGCAUCAUGAUUUAGCUAGUAAAUGUCAAGCAAAGAGCACUUUAGUUUGACCCCCCGAAACUAUGUGAGCUACUCCGAGCCAGCCUAGCAAUAGGGCAAACCCGUCUCUGUGGCAAAAGAGUGGGAAGAGCUUUGAGUAGAGGUGACAGACCUAUCGAACUUAGUUAUAGCUGGUUGCCUGAGAAACGAAUAGAAGUUCAGCCUCCCGGCUUUCUCCCCUCACCCCGCUUAUUAUUACACACUAAUGACCAAGAGAAACCAAGAGAGUUAGUAAAAGGGGGUACAGCCCCUUUGACACAAGACACAACUUUCCCAGGAGGGAAAAGAUCAUACUUAAAUAUAAGGUAAAAUGUUUUGGUGGGCCUAAAAGCAGCCACCCCUAUAGAAUACGUCAAAGCUCAGACAUAUUUACCACCCAAAAUCCCGACAAUUUUAUCUUAGCCCCCUAAUAUUACCAGGCCGCCCCAUGCACCCAUGGGAGCGACCAUGCUAAUAUGAGUAAUAAGAGGGCAAAUCAGCCUCUCUCCUCGCACAAGUGUACUUCGGAUCGGACCCCUACCGAAUCUUAACGACCCCAAACAAAGAGGGCCCUGAACAACAGACCCACCUACUAGAAAAACACUCACUAUACUAAUCGUUAAACCCACACUGGUGUGCCUUCAAGGAAAGACUAAAAGAAAAGGAAGGAACUCGGCAAACACAUAAGCCUCGCCUGUUUACCAAAAACAUCGCCUCUUGCAAAACAUGAAUAAGAGGUCCUGCCUGCCCGGUGACCAUGUUGUUCAACGGCCGCGGUAUUUUAACCGUGCAAAGGUAGCGAAAUCACUUGUCUUUUAAAUGAAGACCAGUAUGAAAGGCAACACGAGGGCUUGACUGUCUCCCCUUUCAAGUCAAUGAAAUUGAUCUUCCCGUGCAGAAGCGGGAAUUCCUCCAUAAGACGAGAAGACCCUAUGGAGCUUUAGACACCAAGGCAGGCCACGUCAAAACUCCCUUAAAAAGGACCAAACUAGUGUACCCUGGUCCCGAUGUCUUUGGUUGGGGCGACCGCGGGGAAGCACAUAACCCCCGCGUGGAAUGGAAGCACUACUAUUUUUGCUCCUACAAAUGAGAGCUCCCACUCUAGUGAACAGAAUUUCUGACCUACAAGAUCCGGCAACGCCGAUUAACGAACCGAGUUACCCUAGGGAUAACAGCGCAAUCCUCUCUUAGAGCCCAUAUCGACGAGAGGGUUUACGACCUCGAUGUUGGAUCAGGGCAUCCUAAUGGUGCAGCCGCUAUUAAGGGUUCGUUUGUUCAACGAUUAAAGUCCUACGUGAUCUGAGUUCAGACCGGAGCAAUCCAGGUCAGUUUCUAUCUAUGCCAUGAUCUUAUCUAGUACGAAAGGACCGAAAAGAAGAGGCCCAUGCUCCAAGUACGCCCCUCCCUCACCUAAUGCAACCAACUAAAAUAGACAAGAGGGCAUACACCCACGUUCUCGAAAAGAACCC